ACAUUAAAAAACGAUAUAUUUUUAUAAAUAAUAUUAAAUGAAUAUAAACUUAUAUUCGUUAUAAAAUCGUGCAUGGUGUUUCGUAUAUUGAUACAAUUGGAAUAUAACAAAAAUUAAUAAAAAAGGGAGUAAAAAUUCAACAAAUCAUAAGAAAUUUUGUAUUUUAUACCCAAGCUAUAACCAUAGAUACAUAAUGGAGACUUCUCGAAAUUAUAAAAAUCCUUUUCCGGAUUAUACGAAUACAUCUUCUAUUACCGUGUUGAAGCUUGAAGAAAAUACUAUAACAGAUAAUUUUAAAGUUUUGUUAUAUACAAAAACCAUAAAAUUGUUACAAAAAUUAGAGGAAAAUAAAAAUGAUUGGACUUAUAAUGACGAUCAUUCUAUUUACACAGGAACAGCUGGUAUAGCAAAUAUGUUUAAACUCUAUGCUGAUUAUUUCGACGAACCUGCAUAUUAUUCUAAAGCAAUAGAAUUGUUGCAAACCUGUAUCAACAAAUUUCAAUGGAGAAAAGAAAUAACUUUCUUAACUGGUUUAUCUGGACCAUUAGCACUUGGUGCAGUUCUAUUUCAUAAACAUGGAAAUAAGGAUGAUUCUCAAAAAGCUAUAUCUAAAUUAAUAUCAUUAUCAUCCCACGUUGUAAAGGAACAUGGCAAAGUAUGUGAUGAAUUACUUUAUGGAAGAGCUGGCUAUCUUUUCUCUCUUCUUUAUGUAAAUUCAAAUAUAUCCCCGUCACCUAUAGAAAGUGAUAUUAUCAAACAGGUUAUUUCUUGUAUAAUCAAAUCUGGAAAUAUAUAUUCCAAAUCAAGACACUAUGAGACUCCACUUAUGUAUUCGUGGCAUGAUAGUGAAUAUCUUGGUGGAGCUCAUGGACUGGCUGGUAUUCUCUACAUACUGUUACAAGCUCAUUAUUAUUUGACAGAAGAACAGUUAAAAAAUGACAUAUUACCAGCUUUAGAUUACCUUCAAGAUUUAAAAUAUCCAUCAGGAAAUUUUCCUUCUUCGGUAGGAAGUAAGACAGAUAAAUUAAUACACUGGUGUCAUGGAGCUCCAGGAAUGACCAUGUUAUUUUGCCUUGCCUAUGAGAUAUAUUUGGAUAAGAAAUUUUUACAAACUGCUAUACAAUGUGGAGAAGUAAUUUGGGAAAGGGGUCUGUUAAAAAAAGGGUAUGGAAUAUGUCAUGGGGUUUCUGGAAAUGCAUAUACCUUUCUACAUCUAUUUCAACAAACGAAGGAUCCAAAACAUCUAUAUAGAGCUUGUAAAUUUGCAGAAUGGUGUUUUGAUUACGGAGAAAAUCAAAAUAGAAUUCCAGACAGACCAUUUUCUUUGUUUGAAGGUCUUGCUGGUGUCAUUUAUUUCCUUAUAGAUAUGCAAAAACCAAGUAUGGCUAAAUUUCCAGCAUAUACUUUAUAAAAUUAAUAUUUAUGCAUUACCAUAUUUAUUACACCACAAUCUUCUAUCUGACUAUUUCUACAAAGAAAGCAUCUUAGAAUUAAGCUUUAUAUUUAAAAUUGAAUGAGAUCUUUCUCUAGUGAUAAUGGUACUGAUAUUUCUUCUUAAGGAGAUGAACAUGGAGAUUAGUACAAGUUUGACCGAUUUUACUAUAAAAGCAAUCUUAUUGAGAAUCAAAUGAGUUAGAAGUGAUUAAUCCGGUUUUAAAUUAAAGCUUAAAACGUUGAUUUCUUAUUAACCAUUAAUGGGAGUGGCGUUCACCUGUUUUACCUGAGGCUUUACCUGAGUAUAUAAGGAACAUUCUACCAUCGCUCCGCUUAGUUCCGUUCUUCUGGAAUCAUUCGUAAAACAGCACUUUGCUUCGCCGUAAAAAAACCAACCAUGAGAUUUCACAAGAUUGUCUCGAUCGUUCUUGUUGUAAUAACGAUCGCAUCGGCAUACCCGCAAAAAGAUGGUCAAGUCUUCAGUAAUGAAGCGAUUAGACAAGCUCAAAAUACCUAUCUCAUUCCUAAGGAUGCGACGAUACAAAAAGUUCAGGAAGGAAUAGAAUUAGCUGCAUAUGAAUCGAUUCCUGGAGAUCAAAGGAUAAAUCUUUUUGAAAUACUUGGAGAACACGUACCAUCAGAAGUUGUUAACAAUCUGCAAACUCAAAUUGAUCAAAUAGGGCGAAAUUAGAAUUUAUUGUUCAACAUUAAAUGUGUUGUGUCGAUUUUUCGUUAUCUGACUGUACAAAAUUACUUUUAAUAAUAAGUAUUUUAAUAUGUACUUAUAUAAAAGUAUUUAUAAAUAAGCGAUAAAUUACUCUCUUUCGUGAAUGUAUAUAUAUAUUCAGCUUUUACAUUUUUAUAAAUAAACGCAA
This 2309-nucleotide unclassified non-coding RNA is filed under the name Polistes canadensis. RNAcentral describes it as "lanC-like protein 2, transcript variant X2". The record is from RNAcentral. Lineage: Eukaryota; Metazoa; Arthropoda; Insecta; Hymenoptera; Vespidae.